RNAcentral lists this unclassified non-coding RNA (955 nucleotides) under Hevea brasiliensis (rubber tree). The record is from RNAcentral. Lineage: Eukaryota; Viridiplantae; Streptophyta; Magnoliopsida; Malpighiales; Euphorbiaceae.
AAUUUGCAUGUACAAUUUGGACAAUGCCAAUCACAUGGGGGCAACAUCUGUACAUCGAGGCAGCUCUGAUGAAAUGUUGAUGGACAACCAUCACAACAUAUCAAAUCCCCACCAUCUCCACAAAAUCAUCAUUUGGAUCAUCACCGACAAUGUCUACAGAAUGAAAAUCAACGCGCUCAAUCGACUCCUGUCUAUUCCAUGCAUCAAUCUGGCACUCCAGAAGGGAAACCCCAGUAUCAAGAUAUAUAUUUUGAAAUGGUUGGCGUAGUUUGCUCCCUGCAUGGAUCUCAAACUUUGAAACUGUGAGGAUUUUACUACAGCAACCACAAUGAAUACCAUCUCUUGUAACCCAGCCCUCCAGCAUUACUUUUGUUCGUCGACGAUUCAUGUAGCGCACCUUUUGGCUCAACUGCACAAUUCCACAAUCAAUCAGCCAGGAGAGCAGUGUCCGUUUGCCAGCAUAUGGAACAAAGCCAUCACUCUCUGAGUUUAGCCCUUCAUUAGAAUUCCGUACCAACAAAGUACAUCUGCCAAGUUUUCUACUUUUUCUUCCUUGAUGAGAAUUGGAUCCAGAGGGUAUUUUCUCCAUGCCAUUAUGCAGUUGACGAGUAGAACUUUGACCUUUUGUGUUUACAUUGAGAUAACUGUUACCGUUUGUUCUACUCUUCAAUGACUUACCACCCUGUUUAAUGAAGGAGCUCAGUUUCUCUUCAUGGCUUCCACUGUCCAUGCUUUCCUCAUCAUGCCUGGAACUUGAAGACUUUCUUGCUGCAGUUUCUCGUGCAUUCUCACUUUCACCUCUUUGCUUCCUUUUCAUUUCUUUCUCCAUCUUCUUCCGAGUCUUCCUUGUAAGUUGGCUGAGCACCUCAUCUGAUAGUGGCGUAAAUGGAGAACUAUCAGCCUUAGAUUUUGCUUCCUCUUCCUCGUCAUUUAAUUGCUUUAGAAGUGCAUCAUA